This 37-nucleotide transfer RNA is filed under the name Silene sibirica. RNAcentral's name for it is "partial tRNA-Lys". The record is from RNAcentral. Lineage: Eukaryota; Viridiplantae; Streptophyta; Magnoliopsida; Caryophyllales; Caryophyllaceae.
GGGUUGCUAACUCAACGGUAGAGUAUUCGGCUUUUAA